This 138-nucleotide ribosomal RNA is filed under the name uncultured eukaryote. RNAcentral's name for it is "partial 18S ribosomal RNA". It matches the Rfam family "Eukaryotic small subunit ribosomal RNA", at positions 1299 to 1458 of the family's 1831-position model. The record is from RNAcentral.
UGGUGGAGUGAUUUGUCUGGUUAAUUCCGAUAACGAACGAGACCUUAACCUGCUAACUAGGCCGCCUAACUUUUUGUUGGGUGUUCUUCUUAGAGGGACUGAGUACAGUAUAGUACUUGGAAGUUUGAGGCAAUAACA